RNAcentral lists this long non-coding RNA (2680 nucleotides) under Numida meleagris (helmeted guineafowl). Its description in RNAcentral is "lncRNA (ENSNMEG00000015473.1)". The record is from RNAcentral. Lineage: Eukaryota; Metazoa; Chordata; Aves; Galliformes; Numididae.
CCGCUGUCUCAAAAAGUAAAUAAUUCCAUAAACUACUGACUUUUUAAUGCAUCACUAGUGACAAACAAAAGACCAACAAGAAAAUGGCAUCUAAUGUCUGCUCGAUAGACCUACCGAGCAAUGUAUUCAGCUAUCUACCUACUCCCUUAUCACACAUCUGAGUGCUGCCCAGAUCCAGGUGUUCCUUCUGCCUGUGGCUGUCGGACCAGACUGCGUGUUUAGCCUUCCUACCCAAAUAUCCCUAAUAACAGGUGGUCGCACUGGGGCCCCGGAGGCGCUGAGCGGCAGAUGAGCUACUGUGGCUGCGCGCGGCGCGGCGCAGAGCCCAAGUAGCUGGACGCACCUCUACGCAGCGCGCCGCCAGGGGGCGCUGCCACCGCUCGCCUUCGCCCGGCGGCCCCCGGCGGUCUGCCGGGCCCCCGGUGGGAAAAGGCGACGCGGCUUCCCUGGGGUUUGGCGUUUGUUAACGUCAGUCAUCGCUGCGAGGCCGCGGGCCGAGGAGGAAGGAGCUCCUCCGAGCUCUCCCCCGUUCGCGGCAGCACCCAUCGGGGCGGCAGGUGCAGGCGACCCGAGCGUCGCGGAAUGGCGAGUGCACCCCUCGGGCACGAAGCCGCGUCCCCAAGAGCCCCUCGCAGCGGGGAGUAGCGAGCCGGGCCCGCCCGGACGGUGUCAUCGCAGCAUCGCGAGCUGGCCGCCGAGACGGAGAAAUCUUAUUUUGACAUAUGAUUGUCUGAACAGCAGAGAAGAUCAAAACUCCUGAUGCCACCUAUAACUUUAUACCCAUGUAAACUUAAUCAAGGUAAUGCCUAUAGCAUAUAGUAUGAUACCUCAUAAAAGGUACAGUAGGUGAGGCAACGUUACCAGAAAUGACAGGGUAACACAAUGAGAAAAUAAGUAACAAGGUAUGCAGCGCUAAGAGUUUGAGAUUAAUACAGUGCCUACAAACAUUGGAAACUUCUUUCUAGGCUUUUUACCUGUGCAAUCAUGUUCUCAGUGUGCACAUAUAUGUGUCCCUCCCAAAAUACCCUAAAUUUUCUAAAUGGCAGGAGUUCCAAACUGAAGAAUUGAAUUCAUACAAUUAGUGAAUUCCAGUGUCCAGAAAGCCUACAAUUGCCUCUGCUGAGGAAUAGUAUCAUGUAGAGUAAGAUCUUUUUAGGUAUCAAGUAUCCAUAUAAGAGACCAUACAAAAACCUCAGCCACAAAGAAUGUUUCUGUCAGAGACUGCUCUUCCUUGGACACCAGUGAAUGAUGAGAUGUACAUCUCCAUAAAGCACCACAGCACUUUAGUUUUGAUAUUUAAGGAACAUUGUUUUGGACAUUUAAUGUCACAAACGUCAAAGUUGCAAAGAAUGGAGAGAAUAAUGGAGUGGAACUGAGGAGUGACCUGAGGGUAAGUGAUGCCGCAGGACACAGCAUCCAGAAAAAUGUUCUGGGCACACAGGUUUGCUUAAGGGGAAGACAGGAGAGGAGGAAGAUGGUCCCUAUCAGUCUGUAAGAGUAGGAUGUUUGCUGAUUUCAGUCUUACGUACAUCAGCAAACAGAAGUACCAAGUAACUAAGUUAUCAGUGGUCAGUUUCUGCUUGGUGUGAAAUGAUGUAAAAGCAGUGAUUUAAAGUGGGAAGGGAAAAAGAGCCUGGACUAUGAGACUGGCAUGCAAGGACUGUGGCUUCUAAUGACUUGGAGAGAGUUGACUUUGUAACUGCCAAAGGAGAGAAGACUCUAGUAUUUGUGACAUGGCAAGAGAAGAAAAUUUGACAAAAUACCCUUGAACUCGGGUAGCAUGGGCAGGAAGAGAGAAGGGAUGAGGUGCCAGACAAUGGUCCUAUAGCUGUGAACCCCUUAUACUAAUUUGGCUGCUGUUUGUUAUCUUGUCUCUGCAUGUAAUGUCUUUUGUAUUAUUAGCAAAAGCAGCUACACUCUGUUCAAAGGGAAAGAAGUCAAGCAUGGGACAUUCCUCUCAGAAACAGGAAGGCACUUAACUUGAGGAUACAUUAAUUGUCUAGAAAUACUACCAAGCCCACCUUUGCUAGCAGGCAAAGUGCUGCUACGAAAUUUUAGUUACGUGAGAUAACUGCUUUGCUAAAAUACAUGAAUCAGAUAUUGACCAACAGCCAUUUAAAGAGUAGAAAAAGACAAAGCUUCCUAAAAACAUAAAAAGCAAGUGAAAAAGAUGAAAACCAAUCAUAAUUUGAGAAGAGAGGGUGCUGAAAAAAAGACAAAAGUUGGAAAAGGUAAAGAGUACGUAUUUAAGACAGUUUGUCAGUGUGAAAUGGCAAAUAAGCAACUGCCGAUCACAAACUGAUUGCAAGAGAAUAUCAGGGAAUGUAUGCAAAGGAAUAUACACUCACAAUUUCAGUUGUAUGUGUGUAUAGUGAAUGGAUAUACAGAAAACCUAUAAAGAUAGUAGUAAAAAUACCAAAGUUGAAAGGGAUCCACUGAAUGGAAAAGAGGAUAUGAAAAGAAGAGCCACUUACAUUCAGUAGCAAGAAGAUCACCUCAGUCAGGUACAGUUUGUGAAGAGCUGCAGUCUUAGGAGACUACCAUGAGAUUAGGGAUUGACACAAACUUCCACUUGGACUUGAGUGCCAGUAGCAAGUGGUCUGAGUGCAGUGGUGGAGAUGUAUGUCAUAUGGCAUGGGUCAUACCAGUGGCAAUAAAGCAAACAAGGCAGAAGGAGCCA